Molecule: long non-coding RNA, 1068 nt
Filed under: Oncorhynchus mykiss (rainbow trout)
Lineage: Eukaryota; Metazoa; Chordata; Actinopteri; Salmoniformes; Salmonidae
Description: lncRNA (ENSOMYG00000077456.1)
Source: RNAcentral
AUGAACAGAGUAACAAAUCUCUGGCCAAGAGAGUUUUUCAAUCUCUUCAAUAUCAAUGAGAACUUUUCUCCAUACACAAUGAAGACGUGUUCUGGGGUAACAGAGACUUCAGGCAGGAGAGCCGUCAACUUCAUGGUGGAGUCUAUAGAUUUAUCUAUAGAUGUGUCAGAGUGUGAUAUGAUGCCAGACGAUAUGAUGGAGAUUCCCUCCCCCGACAUUGUGUAUCAUCAUCCCCAUCUGCAACCAGUUAUAGACAAAAUUCCAGCUGUGGACCCAGACGCUCCCAUCCUCCUGCUCUUAGGACGAGACAUCUUAAGGGUACACAAGGUACGAGAGCAAAUCAAUGGGCCCCACGACACUCCUCAUGCACAGCGACUCGACCUCGGGUGGGUCAUCGUGGGUGAGGUCUGUCUGGGAACGGCUCACCGACCAGCCAAUGUUAACGUGUUCAGGACAAACAUACUUCAAAAUGGUCGCACAUCCUAUCUGAGCCCUUGCCCUGACAUCAUCCAGGUAAAAGAGAACUACAGCAGCGUAGCUCAGAAACACAUCUCUCCCUCUACAGUGCACUCGAGAGAUCCAAGCACAACUGUGAACACAGACAGCCUGGGAUGUUCCGUGUUCGACAAAACACAAGACGAUGAUAAACCAGCACCAUCAGUGGAGGACAAAGCCUUCUUGGACAUUAUGGACAAACAGGUUUUCCAGGAUGAUGGAAACAACUGGGUGGCUCCACUACCCUUUCGCCCCACUAGACGUCACCUCCCUAAUAACAGGGAGCAGGCCAUGAACCGUCUCACAUCACUUCGCAGGACUUUAGACAAAAAGCCUGACAUGAAGCGUCAUUUUAAUGACUUCAUGCAAAAGAUGCUGGAUAACGACCAAGCCGAACCUUCACCGCCACUAGAGGGAGACAAAGAACGUUGGUAUCUGCCCAUAUUUGGUGUAUUUGGUGUUUACCAUCCACAAAAGCCUGAACAAAUAAAAGUAGUAUUUGACUCCAGUGCCAAGUGUCAAGGCGUGUCACUUAACCUGUUGCGUCGAGCAAUCCCGUAUCCGGGAGAAUAA